UUNGCCUCCGUUUCGGAGUCUGAUUUAGCCUGCUAGUCGCACGAGUUCAUACUCGUGGCAUAUAGCUCAGUAACACGUGGCCAAACUACCCUAUGGACGAGAAUACUCUCGGGAAACUGAGGCUAAUCCUCGAUACAGCUUCCAUGCUGGAAUGCAGGAAGCUGGAAAUGUUCUGGCGCCAUAGGAUGUGGCUGCGGCUGAUUAGGUAGACGGUGGGGUAACGGCCCACCGUGCCAGUAAUCGGUACGGGUGAUGAGAGUCAGAGCCCGGAGACGGUAUCUGAGACAAGAUGCCGGGCCCUACGGGGCGCAGCAGGCGCGAAACCUUUACACUGCACGACAGUGCGAUAAGGAGACUCCGAGUGCGAGGGCAUACAGUCCUCGCUUUUCUGUACCGUAGGGUGGUACAGGAACAAGUGCUGGGCAAGACCGGUGCCAGCCGCCGCGGUAAUACCGGCAGCACAAGUGAUGGCCGAUAUUAUUGGGCCUAAAGCGUUCGUAGCUGGCCAGACAAGUCUGUUGGGAAAUCCACGUGCCCAACACGUGGGCCGUNCAGCGGAAACUGUCUGGCUUGGGGCCGGAAGACUUGAGGGGUACGUCCGGGGUAGGAAUGAAAUCCCGUAA
This 623-nucleotide ribosomal RNA is filed under the name uncultured euryarchaeote. RNAcentral's name for it is "bacterial SSU rRNA". It matches the Rfam family "Archaeal small subunit ribosomal RNA", at positions 20 to 645 of the family's 1478-position model. The record is from RNAcentral. Lineage: Archaea; Methanobacteriati; Methanobacteriota.